GGGGACGUGGCUCAGUGGCAGAGUCUCUGGCUGGCAUGCAAAAGGUCCCAUGUUCAACCCCCAGCGCCUCCA
This 72-nucleotide transfer RNA is filed under the name Sphaerodactylus townsendi. RNAcentral describes it as "tRNA-Ala". The record is from RNAcentral. Lineage: Eukaryota; Metazoa; Chordata; Lepidosauria; Squamata; Sphaerodactylidae.